Molecule: long non-coding RNA, 39630 nt
Filed under: Populus tremula
Lineage: Eukaryota; Viridiplantae; Streptophyta; Magnoliopsida; Malpighiales; Salicaceae
Description: long non-coding RNA (PTRE_LNC002115)
Rfam family: tRNA (bases 31947-32018)
Source: RNAcentral
UUAUAGGUAUUAAAUAAGAAAAUAAAAUUAAGAAAAAGAACAACUUUUUUUUUUAUUAAACGGUAAAAAUGAUCACUCUAAAUCUUUCCAACCUUAUUAUGCUUACAAACUGGAACUCUUUCUGCCUUGCCAAUAUCAUGCAGUGGUCCGAAAACCCUAAUACCAGCCUAGUUCCUCAAGUUCAGAUCAAUGCUAAAUUCCCCUGAUAUGGGAUUGACUGUGAUAACUAAUACAAUAUGGGGGAUUUCAAUUGUACAUCAAAAGUUUAUGUAGCAGAGGUUCUCUUUACUUUCAGCAGUCCCAUCUGAAAUUUGCUACUGGAUGAUCACUCAAAAUCGAGCUACCAGCUUUCUCUGUUGAGGUGCAGACUAGACUCGUUUCUUAGAACAUCGAAUUUCCCAUUGUUCCCUAAAUUUUCAAAUCAUCCCAAUCAAGGGAUUCGUUUUCAUAAUCAUAUUGUUGAUGCCUACCGCGUGACAACCUGCCCAUUACAGCCAAACCUGAAACAAUCCGGCCAUGUUGAAUCAGAAAGUGUAGGCAAAACCACUUAUACCUGAUCGUCAAAAUUCACUAAAAAAAAAAAAGAAUAACCACGGUUGUUGUAAUGAUCAACUUCUACCACAACUACAAUGCUUGUGCACGCAUGCAAGUAAUCAGUGAACAUAUGUUUAGUGUAUGCACACAGGAAAAUUGUGGCUGUACCUUCAAUCAUUCUGUAGAAAGCUGACCACCAUCCAUCUUGGGGAACUUGGCUCUGUUGCAGUGUAUCACAUAUCGCUUCGUCAUACUUCCCCACCAGGACAUCCUGCAGCCUUAUAACUGCAUCUUUCGUUUUCCUGAGGAUGCUGUCCUCGUCUCCAACAUCCAACAUUGGAAGACCAUUCUCUGAAGAAGCGAGACUAACAACCAGGGCGAGUUGGGCAGCUGCAGCCCAUCUUGAAGAGUCUAUCCAUCUAUGAUCAUUCUUCCUUUUACUCAACUUAUUCUCUUUACUUUCAAGCACCAGGCUAUACAAGUAUUGAGCAUUUGCUGGACCUGUACUUUGAACCAUCCUAGAGAAUGCGCUUCCUUUGUUUGGUAGUAGCAGUUCCUCUGGGGUGCCAUGUUCUAAGACCUGAAAGGUUGAUGAUUCUAACAUGAGUUGAACAAAGGAUCACUACAUGACAUAUUGGAAUCAUAAAAAAAUUGUGAAUGAAGUUGGUUAGCAUGAAAAUUCUUGAUGAUCCCUGCUUCUUUCUUUUUUUACAUUAAUUUUUUCAGGAUUGUGUUCAAUAAACUCAGUUUUCCAAGCAAGAAGGAAACAGGGAACAACUUCCUUGCAAACAUAAUUUGAGAGCAUACCUGAUCAGCCUCAAGCACAAGAAUUCUGUCGCAGUCAAUAAUGGUAUUUAGUCUGUGAGCGAUGACUAGCAUUGUGCAGGAUCUGAAUUCUUCUCGAAUGGUUUUCUGGAUAAGAGCAUCGGUUCUAACAUCAACAGAAGCAGUAGCUUCAUCAAGAACAAGAAUCUUAGAUCUUCGCAGCAACGCUCGUGCGAGACUUAGUAGUUGUCUCUGUCCAACACUAAAAUUCUCCCCUCCCUCAAAAACCUUAGAAACCAAAACAAAUCAACUUUACAGUUUGCUUUACCCGAUAAUCAACUUAAUGUUGUGCACAUCUGAAAAAAAUAUGUAUUAAAAACAUUUCUUUGACUUUAAAUCAGCUUUAAUGAAAAUCGAUGCCAUAGUUUUUUAGUAGAAUGUUUGCAGUGGAGCACUAUUUCCACCCAUAUGUGUGCUUCAUAUUAGUUUUUGUCACACAUUUUUAACAUUGUUUUUAAAAUAUAUGAAUAGCUAACACAGUUUGACUGAUUAAGAUUCACUGACAGAAGGUAGUUUGAUAAAAGGUAAUCUAAGUCCAUACCUCAGCAUCCAGACCAAAAGAAUUAUUUCUAAUGGCAUCCUUUAAAUGUGCCCUCUCCAAAGCCUCCCAUAGGUCAGCAUCAUUGUGUUCACUAAAUGGAUCGAGAUUAAAUCGCACAGUUCCUAUAAGAAAACGAAAGACAAUUAGAAUGAAACAAGUGUUAAGAUUAAUCACCACUGUGGCUUCAGCUUGGCUAUGGUUUCUCAAUCAAAUCUCAAGUAUUCUUGGUUAGCAAGCUUUCAAGUGGAAAACAAAAUCAAAACAGAGUAAGAGCAUAAAUCAUCUCAACUCAUCCAAAAGACAGUAUCAGAUGUCAACAUAAGAAAAGAAGUUGAAGAAGUUGAACUAGAAAAAUCCAGUUUUCAGUUUCUCUUGACAGUACCUGAGAAGAGAACUGGUGAUUGGGGUAUGAUACUGAGAAUUUUCCGCAAAUCUGUGAGUCCAAACUUAGCAACGUCACAACCAUCAAUGGUGAUUUCUCCUCUUUCCAGUUCUACAAUACGGAACAGUGCAUUUAGCAUGCUAGAUUUCCCUGCUCCUGUUCUUCCAACUAUUCCUAGCUUUUCACUAGGAGAGACUUCAAAGGACAAAUGAUGCAAGACUGGAGGAAGCUCGGGUCUGUAACGCAGAAAAACAUCCCUGAAUUUAAUUGAACCUGAAGAAGGCCAAGCAGGAGGAGGACGAUUGGUCUCGACAAUGGCAGGAGCUUCGGAUGGUAAAUCCAUGUAUGUGCCAACACGCUCAACAGAGUUUAAGCUAUUUUCAGCUCUACUAGCUUGUCUUAGAACAUUACUCAACAAAUCAGUGAUGUUCAAAGUAUAACUAAGUAGUAGACCCAUUACAGAUGCAAAUUCCACAUGAUUUUCUGUUCUUCCAUUCCCCAAAACUGCAAAUGUUGCUAUCAACCAAAUCAUGAUCCCUCCUAGUGUUACCAACCUUAUGGUGAGCCAGCGAUUUGAACUCAUAUUUACAAGAGUGAACCUGAUAUUAUUGUCCAUAGACUUUCCAUUGAUGAUUGCCAUCCAAUCAUAUGCUUUAUAUGCACGAAUACUUGACAAACCAUUUAACGCUUCUCCAAAUUGUGCAUAAACCGGAGACCUGGUAAUAGAAUCCAGACGUUUCACUUCACGGGAAGUGCUCUGUACAAUACAGUACAAGAGUAUAGUUAUUAGAGCUUGUAGAUACAAUACUGACAAGAUGAAUUAACUAGCAUAAAAAUGUCAAUUCAACAUUAAUGGAUAUAUAUGAUUGCAGAAACAUUAAUGGAUAUAUAUGAUUGAAGCUCAGAAAGAUAACUCUUACAUGUGGAACUGAUAAAAACAACAACAAUAACUUGAUACGUGAAAGAAACCACUCGUAGAGCAUCCCAACCAAGAUACUAAAGUUACAUUCAUUGCAAAAGGCAUACCAGUUUCCAAACAACAACAACAACUAGGGAUUUCUCAUCAUACCUGAUAAUAUAGAUAUGCUGAAUAAAACAAGAUCAGAAGUGGCAUAAUGGCCCACAAUGAUAUUGUGCUCACAAUGCCUAUCAGCACAAAAGUUGAAAACAGCUGCCAGGCUUGGUUUAGAAAAUUGUUGGCAAAAUUGGCAACAUUACGAUCUAUUUCACCUAGAUCCUUCGCAAACCUAUUGAUUAUUCUCCCAGAUGGGUUCGUGUGGAAAAAUAGCAUGGGAGCUCGUAGGAUAGAGUCUAGCAUGGCAUCAUGAAGUCUUUUAGCUGCAUGUAGACUUGAACUGAUUAACCAAUAAGAGUUCACUAGAGUCACAAUCACCUGAACCAGAAAUAUGAAGUAAGACUCUAAUGACCAUAGCAAUUACAUAAAUUCUAAAGUUUCUUCCUCACUACUUCUCUUUUUUGUUUCACAUCUGUUAUUCUAUGUUAAAAAACAACUACAAAUAAAAGAAAGUAGAAUGGAUUAAGAUAUUGAUGCCAACUAUGGCUGUGAACAAACCUGACCAAAUGAUAGAAGUGCAUACACGAAAAUGUAGUAUCCUGGCUUAUAACUCUCCAAAGUGCUUUGAUUAGUCCAAAAACUCAACCAUGUACUUCUUGAAACUCGAAGAACUUCAGUUAAUAAGUAGCACAAAAAGAUUAUCAAAACCACCCAUAUGCCUCCUAAUGCAUUGUUAUACCUGCAAAUGGACAUAAAAAUGUCAAGUACAAGAGCAACAAAAUUAUCUUCGAAUGUUUCAUGUUUAUGACUAUCAUACAUGCUAUUGAAAACUACGAAAUAUUAAUGCAUUCACAUUACAGAACGGCCAUUAGUUGAAAAAAUGUUUCUACCACUGGUUUUAAGUGCUUGCUGGAGAGCUUAAAACUACAAAGAUACUGUAUAAAAUGAGAACAUCUACAGUAAGUAGUUGGUAUCCAAUGGGCAUUAAAUGGUUUUGCAUCCAAAAUAUGUGCAUUUGAGCAUCACUAGUCUUCAGGAUAUCCACCUUGGCCACAAUUAUGGUACAGCAGUUAAAGACUAGGAAAUAUGUUUUCAACUUUGACCCGCAUUGAAGUUUUCUUAGUAAAUCAAAGAGGUUUACCUAUGAACUUGGUUUGCACGCUUCGCUGCUGUGAGCAUCAUAUAAAAAUAUGUUGAAUGUAUUCAGAAAAGGGUCCUUAUCCUAAGGCAUUGUUUAGAAAUUGCGCAAACAAUCAAAGAAAUAAAAUAUAGCAAGAAUCUUAAAUAAGCCCCCUAAAUUACCUUGUCAAAACAUUCCAACUGACAACACCUGUUUCACGUUCUUCUUGCUUGAUAAGUACAGAUUUCCCUCCUUUCACUUUCAUUUUGGAACCUGCUUUUUGUGGCAAAUCAUUUCCCCCAUUAGCCGCUGGUUUUGAGCUUUUGUAGUCUAAAUUUUCACUGUUCUUUUCUUCCACUAGCUCUUCCAUUUUCCCUGCAUUUUCCAUCAGCUUCUGGAACAGCUUGCCAUUUUUAGAGAGUUCCUCAAAGGUUCCCUCCUCUUUAAUCAUACCUUCACUGAGAAGAAUAAUUUUAUCCACUUGUGGAAGAAAAUGUAGCUGGUUGGUGACAAGAACCCUGGUUUUUCCUUGCAACUCGUCCUUAAUACAACUGUUGAAGACCUGUAAAUUUGAGAUUAGGCUAAUAUUUAGCUUAAACAGAAGCUUUUUAAGCUUGCUUUUAGAGCUUCGAUGUGUAAAGCUAGCGAUUGUCAAAGUCAUGAAACACUAAAGUAAUAUGAAAAAGAAGCAGAGAGAAAUUCCCUCGAACUCAUAACCUGGUCUUCAAGGAAUAAAAUUGUUGGAAUAAAGUUAUUGAAUGUUCACUUUGUAUAAAGAAAGCUUAAUAAUAAAGAGCUGCUCAUCACUGUGAACCAUAUCAAGCUUGUUAUAAGAUAUAUUUAGGUAGCACUAGUGAUCAAAUUAACUUUAAUGUGAGCUUAUAGUAUUUAACUUGACCCAGUACCUGUCGACCGACAUGAGCAUCUAAAGCACUUAAAGGGUCAUCAAAUAUGUACACAUCUGAAUCGGAAAGACUAAUUAAUCAGAACACUUUGUAUAGGAGGAAACAUUUAUUAAUCAAUAAUAAAUUACAAACUGGAACUCUUUCUGCCUUGCCAAUAUCAUGCAGUGGUCCGAAAACCCUAAUACCAGCCUAGUUCCUCAAGUUCAGAUCAAUGCUAAAUUCCCCUGAUAUGGGAUUGACUGUGAUAACUAAUACAAUAUGGGGGAUUUCAAUUGUACAUCAAAAGUUUAUGUAGCAGAGGUUCUCUUUACUUUCAGCAGUCCCAUCUGAAAUUUGCUACUGGAUGAUCACUCAAAAUCGAGCUACCAGCUUUCUCUGUUGAGGUGCAGAACAGACUCAUUUCUUAGAACAUCGAAUUUCCCAUUGUUCCCUAAAUUUUCAAAUCAUCCCAAUCAAGGGAUUCGUUUUCAUAAUCAUAUUGUUGAUGCCUACCGCGUGACAACCUGCCCAUUACAGCCAAACCUGAAACAAUCCGGCCAUGUUGAAUCAGAAAGUGUAGGCAAAACCACUUAUACCUGAUCGUCAAAAUUCACUAAAUAAAAGAAGAAUAACCACGGUUGUUGUAAUGAAUCAACUUCUACCACAACUACAAUGCUUGUGCACGCAUGCAAGUAAUCAGUGAACAUAUGUCUAGUGUAUGCACACAGGAAAAUCUUGACUGUACCUUCAAUCUUCUGUAGAAAGCUGACCACUGUUGCAAGCUGAAUUCUGAGGGAACCGAUGGGAAGGGAACUAAAUGGCGUUGCUAGAAUAGUUGGUGUAUUUCCAGUUAGCAUGAAGGCAUUUUCCAGUAACCAGAGAAUAGAAGAAUUUGAGAGAGAAAGAGAGAAGGCUGAGAGGAGGAUAGAACACGUUGAUUGUAUUUUUCUUUCUUGUUGUGUUCGUUACAUGCACGUUUACAGAUAUAGGAAUUAAUUCGAAAUCUAGAAUGCCACAUGAGGCUUGUUAUGAAUUAACAACUAACAAUUUGUUAACAGAAGAAUAACCGAAUGAAAAACAGAAUUGAAAUAACUGAAUGAAAGCCGUUAGUUGAUAUUUGUCCUUCGUGCCACCUCAGCCUUUUAUUUAAACGGUGCGUAUAAGCUGGGAAGUUGUUCAAGACGACACCGUAGCUUCAUCCAUCUUUUAAUUUGAAAGUCUUCAUAUUCUUCGCGCCACUGUUCGUCCCGCUUCAUAACAAUAUUCCCCCCUUAAAAAUGUUCCUUGUCCUCAAGGAAAAAUUGUGGAUACCUCAGACGAAGAUCCUCAGCAAAUUCCCAGGUGGCCUCAGAUGGGGAGAGGGUCUUCCAGUGAAUCAAAACCUGAGUGGCUGCUUGCCUGUGAUGUUGAACCAUUCUUCUGUCGAGAAUGGCUUGGGGUUGCAGUGCAGGUUCUUUGGGUAAGGUAGGUAACUGGUCAUGGACGAUUUUGUGUCCCACAUGUUGCUUUAAUUGGGACACAUGAAAGACGGGGUGUAUUGCACUGGAACUGGGAAGUUGUAACCGAUAUGCUACGGCUCCUAUGCAUGCUGUAACUUGAUAAGGGCCAUAAUAUUUAGCUGCUAGUUUGUGUGAGGCUCGCCUACUCACGGUGUGUUGUCUGUAGGGCUGCAACUUGAGAUAAACCCAAUCUCCCACGGUGAAGGUGCGUUCACUACGCUUUUUGUUCGCCAGUUGGACCAUGCGGUGUUGAGCUAGCUGUAGGUUAGCUUUAAUAGUGUUGAGCAUAUCUUCACGCAGAGUCAACUGUUGAUCGACAGCUUCGAUACUGGAGUCCUUAGGGAAGUAAGGUAUGUGGACUGGAGGAAUGUGGCCAUAUAAAACUUCAUACGGCGUGGCUUUGAGGGAGGAAUGGAAGUUGGUAUUGUACCACCAUUCAGCCAAAGGAAGCCAUUUACACCAUUGAUCCGGAGUCUUGUUAGUCAUGCAUCUGAGAUACUGCUCUAAGCAACGAUUCACUACUUCGGUUUGGCCGUCGGUCUGAGGAUGGUAUGCAGUAGAAUGUAACAGUUGAACCCCUUGAUAGGUGAAGAGAUCCUUCCAGAACCUGCUUAGGAACACAGGAUCUCGGUCACUGACUAUAGAAGCUGGUAAUCCGUGAAGCUUGUAAACGUUGUUCAUGAAGGCAUCUGCAACUGAGGUUGCAGUAUAAGGGUGUGAUAGGCCAAUGAAAUGUGCGUAUUUGCUGAACCUAUCGACUACGACUAACACCACAUUUUUCCCUUUUGAAUUUGGCAGCCCUUCGAUGAAGUCCAUACUGAUGUCUACAAAUGGUGCCAGGGGUAUAGGGAGAGGCUGAAGUAAGCCAGGAGUGAGGACAUUCUCAGUUUUGUUUUUCUGGCAAACGUGACACUCCCUUACAUAUGCCCGCACAUGCCUCUGUUGUUUUCUCCAAUAGAACAGUGAUCCUACUCUUUUAGCCGUGGCAGUGAUGCCAGAGUGCCCUCCCAAUGCAGAAUCAUGAUAGAGUGAAAUGAGUUGUCUUUGUAAGUCUGGAUUAUUGCCCACCACUAGUUUCCCCUUCCUGUAUAGAUGUGCAUUCGUCCAUGCAAAGAAUGGAUGUGAAUUAGGAUUUUGUUGCAGCUGAGUAAUAAUCCUUGCUAGAUUGAUAUCUGUCGUCCAAGAGGCCUGAACAGCUUCUAGUAAAUUGGUCGAGAUGGUGGAGAGGGUGAGUGAGAAGACUUCACUACUGGAGCAUCUAGAUAAAGCAUCAGCAGCAAUAUUUUCCUUCCCCUUUCGGUACUCUAUAUCAUAAUCAAAGCCUAAGAGUUUGGUGAGCCAUAAGUGUUGAGAUGGAUAGGAUACCUUUUGAGCCAACAUGUAUUUGAGACUGACAUGAUCAGUCCUGAUCGUGAAAUGCCCCCAAAGGUAGUGUCUCCAUUUGGUGACUGCCUGCAAGAUAGCUAGCAUUUCGCGUUCAUAGGUUGAUAGAGCUUGUUGUCGGGGUCCCAGAGCCUUGCUGAUGAACGCAAUAGGAUGCCCUGCCUGCAUAAGAACAGCCCUAGACCUGAGCCUGAUGCAUCUGUUUCAACUACAAAAGGUUGGCUAAGAUCGGGCAGGGAAAGAACUGGAGGUUGAAUCAUAGCCUGUUUUAAAGUUUGGAAAGCUGUCAGCGCCUCUUCCUGCCAGAUGAAGGCAUCUUUCUUGAGUAAUUGAGUGAGGGGCUUGCUGAUGGAGCCAUAAUUUUUGACAAACCUGCGAUAGUACCCUGUAAGACCCAAGAACCCCCUUAGUUGCUUGACAUUUUGUGGUUCUGGCCAAUCUCUCACAGCCUGAAUUUUUCUGGGAUCCGUGGCUACUCCCUCUUUAGAAAUGACAUGCCCCAAAUACUCAACUUGAGGAAUUCCAAAGGCACACUUGCUGCGUUUGGCUACCAGCUGGUGUUCUUGAAGUAACUUGAAUACAAUCUGUAAAUGCUGCAGGUGAUCUGCCAUGGAUUGACUGUAGAUGAGAAUAUCAUCAAAGAAGACCAGCACAAAUUUCCUGAGAUGCUUGCGGAAGACAUCAUUCAUCAAGCUUUGGAAGGUGGCAGGGGCGUUGGUGAGGCCAAAUGGCAUGACUAAGAACUCAUAGUGACCACUAUGCGUCCGAAAAGCUGUCUUGAAGAUAUCCCCAGAAGCCAUGCGAAUCUGGUGAUAACCAGAACGUAAGUCUACCUUAGAGAACACUGUUGCUCCCACCAGUUCUUCUAACAAUUCAUCUACUAUAGGAAUUGGAAAUUUAUCCUUGAUGGUGAGCUGAUUGAGAGCCCUGUAGUCGACACAAAACCGCCAGGAUCCAUCCUUCUUUUUCACUAACACCACAGGAGAUGCAUAUGGACUGUUACUUUGCUGGAUAAUUCUAGAGGCAAGCAUCUCCUCCACCAUUUUCUCAAGUAUAUCUUUUUGCAUUCCAGAAUAUCUGUAGGGUCUGAGGUUGAUUGCUUGAGCUCCCUCCUUCAUAGGGAUAGAGUGAUCGUGGUAUCUGAUUGGAGGUAGGCCUUCAGGUGCGUUGAAUAGCUCCUUGAAAGAUUCUAGCAAUGUGUUCAAGCCAUACUGUUCCUGUUGUUCCUGUGUAGUUGCAGGUAGCAUAGAAUGUACCUUGUCGUUGUUGUCCUCCUCAAGAUUGAUUAUACUGCAUAGAUUCAUCCCUGUUAGCUGCAUAGGAUUAAGCAUCAAACUGUUAAGUUGUGCCAGCUCAAUAGCCUUUUGCUGCAGUCAGUGCCCCUCAGCACUACAUUCUAAUUUUGCCAAAUGAAGGACAUCCAGAGAUCCUUAUAGUUGGAAACGAUAUUUCCAAGGGUUGCAAGCCAUUGAAUACCCAGAACCAUGUCACAGUUGAUUAAAUCAACAAUGAAGACAUCUGUCUCGAAAUUAACCCCUUGCAUUCUCCACCUGAAAUUCUUGCACAUAGCUGAGCAGUGCAUAGUACCUCCAUUUGCUGUUUCGACCACCAGAGUCCUGAUGGGUGUAGCCAAGCAUUGUAGUUUGUUGGCAGUUGCACUGCUGAGGAAGUUAUGGGUGCUGCCUGAGUCGAUUAAUAUAUACACAGAAUGGUGAUCAGCCUUGCCAGUUACUCUUAAGGUGUGACAACCUCUUGUUCCCUCCAGCGCAUUAAGAGAAAUGUGAGGAAUAAGUGACUCCGGUUCCUCAACAUUGAUUUCCCCUUCUCGGUCCAUAUUGUCUUCAUCAUCUUCAACUAUGCAUAAGGAGUAUAACCUUUUGUUUUUGCAUCUGUGUCCUGGGGUAAAACGCUCAUCACACCAGAAACAUAACCCCUUGGCUCUUCGUUCUUCCAAAUCUCUGGGUCUUAUGGCUCUGGUAGGUUUUUGUGAGAAGUGUGAAGAGUGACCAGUUGGGGUAGGCAGUAUGCCACCUUGCUGUGGUUUGAAGGUGUUGUGGUUUGGUGUUACUGGUGGCCUUGAAUAGGGCAGGGGUGGGCUUGGUUUAAAAGGGGUAGCAUUAGAUAAAACUGGGGAGGUGUAUUGAUGUUGUGUAGGUAUUGAUCUUCUAUAGGCAAGGGUGUUCUCUUGCAACCUGGCAAGGUUAUAGGCUUGUUUUAGUGCCUUGGGAUCAAACAUUUUCACUGGAUUCUUGAUCUCUAUCUCUAACCCUCCAAUGAAGAAUACCAUUGCUUGCUUUUCACUGAUGUCUGCCUUGUUCCACAGGAUAUCGAAGUCUUGAAUAUAGGCGUCCAAGUUGCCUGUCUGCCUUAAUUCCAUCAGUUCUUCAAGCGGGUUUUGUUGACAUCCAAAUCUGCCACACAAUGCUUCAGUGUAUUCCUCCCAUGUAGCCUCCUGACCUCCUAGGCUUCGUGUAAAAUUUUGAUGCCAGUAUAGAGCCAUACCAUCCAAGUAGAAUGAAGCAAGCUUAACCUUCUCUGCUCCUUUGAUUUCUUCCAUAUCAAAAUACUGAUUGCAUUUAUACAACCAUUUGUGAACAUCUUCUCCUUCAAAACAUGGAAAAUCUCUGCGAGGCUUGUGUGUCUUAUAAGAAGAGUGUCCUUCUGCACCAAAACUGGCUGGUUUAGAAGAAGAUCCUCCCAUACGUGAGUCUUGAUGGCCUUUUGCAGGACCCUGCUCCAUGGUAGCUGUCUGCAUUUUUUGUAGAAGAGUAGUCUGUUGAUAGGCUAAUCCGCUGAUGAGCUCUUUAAGUUCCUCAAUCUUAGUGUCUUGAGUCAAUUUGGUUGUCUGUGCUUGUUGGCCAUAGGUUUCCAACAGAGUCAAAACCUGCUCAUGACGCAUCAUUUGUUCCUUGUUUGCAACUUCAAAGGAUUCCUCCAACUUCUUAAGAUCGUGAGACCUCGUGUCUGGUGGCAUUCUAGAGGUCUGAAGAUCAGAAGCUCUGAUACCACUUGUUGCAAGCUGAAUUCUGAGGGAACCGAUGGGAAGGGAGCUAAAUGGCGUUGCUAGAAUAGUUGGUGUAUUUCCAGUUAGCAUGAAGGCAUUUUCCAGUAACCAGAGAAUAGAAGAAUUUGAGAGAGAAAGAGAGAAGGCUGAGAGGAGGAUAGAACACGUUGAUUGUAUUUUUCUUUCUGUGUGUUCGUUACAUGCACGUUUACAGAUAUAGGAAUUAAUUCGAAAUCUAGAAUGCCACAUGAGGCUUGUUAUGAAUUAACAACUAACAAUUUGUUAACAGAAUAACCGAAUGAAAAACAGAAUUGAAAUAACUGAAUGAAAGCCGUUAGUUGAUAUUUGUCCUUCGUGCCACCUCAGCCUUUUAUUUAAACGGUGCGUAUAAGCUGGGAAGUUGUUCAAGACGACACCGUAGCUUCAUCCAUCUUUUAAUUUGAAAGUCUUCAUAUUCUUCGCGCCACUGUUCGUCCCGCUUCAUAACAACCACCAUCCAUAUCGCUUCGUCAUACAUCCCCACCAGGACAUCCUCCAGCCUUACAACUGCAUCUUACGUUUUCCUGAGGAUGUUGUCCUCGUCUCCAACAUCCAACAUUGGAAGACCAUUCUCUGAAGAAGCGAGACUAACAACCAGGGCCAGUUGGGCAGCAGCAGCCCAUCUUGAAGAGUCUAUCCAUCUAUGAUCAUUCUUCCUUUUACUCAACUUAUUCUCUUUACUUUCAAGCACCAGGCUAUACAAGUAUUGAGCAUUUGCUGGACCUGUACUUUGAACCAUCCUAGAGAAUGCGCUUCCUUCGUUUGGUAGUAGCAGUUCCUCUGGGGUGCCAUGUUCUAAGACCUGAAAGGUUGAAGAUUCUAACAUGAGUUAAACAAAGGAUCACUACAUGACAUAUUGGAAUCAUAAAAAAUUGUGAAUGGAGUUGGUUAGCAUGAAAAUUCUUGAUGAUCCCUGCUUCUUUCUUUUUUCACAUUAAUUUUUUCAGGAUUGUGUUCAAUAAACUCAGUUUUCCAAGCAAGAAGGAAACAGGGAACAAAUUCCUUGCAAACAUAAUUUGAGAGCAUACCUGACCAGCCUCAAGCACAAGAAUUCUGUCGCAGUCAAUAAUGGUAUUUAGUCUGUGAGCGAUGACUAGCAUUGUGCAGGAUCUGAAUUCUUCUCGAAUGGUUUUCUGGAUAAGAGCAUCGGUUCUAACAUCAACAGAAGCAGUAGCUUCAUCAAGAACAAGAAUCUUAGAUCUUCGCAGAAGCGCUCGUGCAAGACUUAGUAGCUGUCUCUGUCCAACACUAAAAUUCUCCCCUCCCUCAAAAACCUUAGACACCAAAACAAAUCAACUUUACAGUUUGCUUUACCCGAUAAUCAACUUAAUGUUGUGCACAUCUGAAAAAAAUAUGUAUUAAAAACAUUUCUUUGACUUUAAAUCAGCUUUACUGAAAAUCGAUGCCAUAGUUUCUUAGUAGAAUGUUUGCAGUGGAGAACUAUUUCCACCCAUAUGUGUGCUUCAUAUUAGUUUUUGUCACAUUUUUAACAAUGUUGUUAAAAUAUAUGAAUAGCUAACACAGUUUGACUGAUUAAGAUUCACUGACAGAAGGUAGUUUGAUAAAAGGUAAUCUAAGUCCAUACCUCAGCAUCCAGACCAAAAGAAUUAUUUCUAAUGGCAUCCUUUAAAUGUGCCCUCUCCAAAGCCUCCCAUAGGUCACCAUCAUUGUGUUCACUAAAUGGAUCGAGAUUAAAUCGCACAGUUCCUAUAAGAAAAUGAAUGACAAUUAGAAUGAAACAAGUGUAAAGAUUAAUCACCAAUGUGGCUUCAGCUUGGCUAUGGUUUCUCAAUCAAAUCUCAAGUAUUCUUGGUUAGCAAGCUUUCAAGUGGAAAACAAAAUCAAAACAGAGUAAGAGCAUAAAUCAUCUCAACUCAUCCAAGAGACAGUAUCAGAUGUCAACAUAAGAAAAGAAGUUGAACUAGAAAAAUCCAGUUUUCAGUUUCUCUUGACAGUACCUGAGAAGAGAACUGGUGAUUGGGGUAUGAUACUGAGAAUUUUCCGCAAGUCUGCGAGUCCAAACUUAGCAACGUCACAACCAUCAAUGGUGAUUUCUCCUCUUUCCAGUUCUACAAUACGGAACAGUGCAUUUAGCAUGCUAGAUUUCCCUGCUCCUGUUCUUCCAACUAUUCCUAGCUUUUCACUAGGAGAGACUUCAAAGGACAAAUGAUGCAAGACUGGAGGAAGCUCGGGUCUGUAACGCAGAACAACAUCCCUGAAUUUAAUUGAUCCUGACGAUGGCCAAGCAGGAGGAGGACGAUUGGUCUCGACAAUGGCAGGAGCUUCAGAGGGUAAAUCCAUGUAUGUGCCAACACGCUCAACAGAGUUUAAGCUAUUUUCAGCUUUACUAGCAUGUCUUAGAACAUUACUCAACAGACUAGUGAUGUUCAAAGUAUAACUAAGUAGUAGACCCAUUACAGAUGCAAAUUCCACAUGAUUUUCAGUUCUUCCAUUCCCCAAAACUGCAAAUGUUGCUAUCAACCAAAUCAUGAUCCCGCCUAGUGUUACCAACCUUAUGGUGAGCCAGUGAUUUGAACUCAUAUUUACAAGAGUAAACCUGAUAUUAUUGUCCAUAGACUUCCCAUUGAUGAUUGCCAUCCAAUCAUAUGCUUUAUAUGCACGAAUACUUGACAAACCAUUUAACGCUUCUCCAAAUUGUGCAUAGAUUGGAGACCUAGUAAUGGAAUCCAGACGUUUUACUUCACGGGAUGUGCUCUGUACAAUACAGUACAAGAGCAUAGUUUUUAGAGCUUGUAGAUACAAUACUAACAAGAUGAAUUAACUACCAUAAAAAUAUCAAUUCAACAUUAAUGGAUAUAUAUGAUUGCAGAAAUAGUGACUAUGAGGAAUUACAAUGAGAUAUUUAAACAACAGGUAAUGGGUAAAAUGUUUUAAACACGUACAUAGUUGAAGGUUAUGGAGUUCUUUUUCUAGCUGAAGAUCUUUUAAUUGAGCCUACAUGAAUUCUGACAUGAAAAACUUCAGAAUUUAUGUAAUUGUUAUGGUCUAAGGUUCUUCUAAAUUUUAAGAGACAUGCAUGUUUGGCUUAUUUAGGAUCUAAGUGGCGUUAUCUCAGAAGAUAACUCUUACAUGUGGAACUGAUAAAAACAACAAUAAAUUGAUGCAUGAAAGAAACCACCUCGUAGAGCAUCCCAACCAAGAUACUAAAGUUACAUUCAUUGCAAAAGGCAUACCAGAUUCAAAACAACAACAACUAGGGAUUUCUCAUCAUACCUGAUAAUAUAGAUAGGCUGAAUAAAACAAGAUCAGAAGUGGCAUAAUGGCCCACAAUGAUAUUGUGCUCACAAUGCCUAUCAGCACAAAAGUUGAAAACAGCUGCCAGGCUUGGUUUAGAAAAUUAUUGACAAAAUUGGCAACGUUACGAUCUAUUUCACCUAGAUCCUUCGCAAACCUAUUGAUUAUUCUCCCGGAUGGGUUAGUGUGGAAAAAUAGCAUGGGAGCUCGUAGGAUAGAGUCUAGCAUGGCAUCAUGAAGUCUUUUGGCUGCAUGAAGACUUGAACUGAUUAACCAAUAAGAGUUCACUAGAGUCACAAUCACCUGAACCAGAAAUAUGAAGUAAGACUAAUGACCAUAGCAAUUACAUAAAUUCUAAAGUUUCUUCCUCACUGCUUCUCAUUUUUGUUUCAACAUCUGUUAUUCUAUUUAAAAAACAACCGCAAAAGAAAGAAAGUAGAAUGGAUUAAGAUAUUGAUGCCUACUAUAGCUGUGAACAAACCUGACCAAAUGAUAGAAGGCAUACACGAAAAUGUAGUAUCCUGGCUUAACUCUCCAAAGUGCUUUGAUUAGUCCAAAAACUCAACCAUGUACUUCUUGAAACUCGAAGAACUUCAGUUAAUAAGUAGCACAAAAAGAUUAUUAAAACCACCCAUAUGCCUCCUAAUGCAUUGUUAUACCUGCAAAUGGACAUAAAAAUUCAAGUACAAGAGCAACAAAAUUCUCUUCGAAUGUUUGAGUUUAUGACUAUCAUACAUGCUAUUGAAAACUAGGAAAUAUUAAUGCAUUCAAGUUACAGAACGGCCAUUAGUUGAAAAAAUGUUUCUACCACUGGUUUUAAGUGCUUGCUGGAGAGCUUAAAAUACAAAGACACUGUAUAAAAUGGAACAUCUACAGUAAGUAGUUGGUAUCCAAUGGGCAUUAAAUGGUUUUGCAUCCAAAAUACGUGCAUUUAAGCAUCACUAGUCUUCAGGAUAUCCAGUGCUACCUUGGCCACAAUUUGGUACAACAGUUAAAGACUAGGAAAUAUGUUUUCAACUUUGACCCGCAUUGAAGUUUUCUUAGUAACAAAGAGGUUUACCCAUGAACUUGGUUUGCACGCUUCGCUGCUGUGAGCAUCAUAUAAAAAUCUGUUGAAUGUAUUCAGAAAAGGGUCCUUAUCCAAGGCAUUGUUUAGAAAUUGCGCAAACAAUCAAAGAAAUAAAAUAUAGCAAAAUCUUAAAUAAGCCCCCUAAAUUACCUUGUCAAAACAUUCCAACUAACAACACCUGUUUCACGUUCUUCUUGCUUGAUAAGUACAAUUUCCCUCCUUUCACUUUCAUUUUGGAACCUGCUUUUUGUGGCAAAUCAUUUCCCCAUUAGCGCUGGUUUUGAGCUUUUGUAGUCCAAAUUUUCACUGUUCUUUUCUUCCACUAGCUCUUCCAUUUUCCCUGCAUUUUCCAUCAGCUUCUUGAACAACUUGCCAUUUUUAGACAGUUCCUCAAAGGUUCCCUCCUCUUUAAUCAUACCUUCACUGAGAAGAAUAAUUUUAUCCACUUGUGGAAGAAAAUGUAGCUGGUUGGUGACAAGAACCCUGGUUUUUCCUUGCAACUCGUCCUUAAUACAACUGUUGAAGACCUGUAAAUUUGAGAUUAGGCUAAUAUUUAGCUUAAACAGAAGCUUUUUAAGCUUGCUUUUAGAGCUUCGAUGUGUAAAGUAGCGAUUGUCAAAGUCAUGAAACACUAAAGUAAUAUGAAAAAGAAACAAAGAAAUUCCCUCGAACUCAUAACCUGGUCUUCAAGAAAUAGCAUUGUUGGAAUAAAGUUAUUGAAUGUUCACUUUGUAUAAAGAAAGCUUAAUAAUAAAGAGUUGCUCAUCACCGUGAACCAUAUCAAGCUCGCUAUAAGAUAUAGCAGGUAGCACUAGUGAUCAAAUUAACUUUAAUGUGAGCUUAUAGUAUUUAACUUGACCCAGUACCUGUCGACCAACAUGAGCAUCUAAAGCACUUAAAGGGUCAUCAAUAUGUACACAUCUGAAUUGGAGUAGACAGCCCUAGCCAUGGAAACUCUUUGCUUCUGCCCUCCACUUAUAUUGACUCCCCUUUCACCUAUCUCAGUGAGGUCAUGGCCCUGAAUAAACAAUUAUGAGGUAAUCUUCUAAGAGAUAUUUCAAACAAAACAGAAAAAUCAAGAGAGAGAAGAAAGGGAUGCACUUAACUGGAAGCAAGUCGAGAUCAUGUUGUAAUGCAGUUACAUCAAUAGCUUUCAUAUAGCGUGAAGGUUCAUAUUCUGACCCAAAUAAUAUGUUGUCACGGACCUGUAAGAACAGAUUUUCAAUGUCAAGAAUGUGCACAACAUUAAUGCAAAACCUGAGAAGAUCCAUGAAACUUGGCUUUGAAGUACAGAAGCACUACAAAGAUACAAAAUAAAUGAUAAUUAUGUAAGAGACCAAAAUUAAUUAACAAGGAAGAAACUAAGCUGUAACUCACAGUAGCAUUGAAGAUCCAUGAAACUUGAGGAACAUAUGCAACAGUCCCUCUUAUAACAACACUUGCAGCUUCCAUAGGAGGCAGUUCUCCAAGCAUUGCUGAUAUAAGAGAUGUUUUUCCUUCUCCAGUCCCGCCAACAAUUGCAACUAAGCUGCCAACUUGUAUUUUUAAAUUGAUAUCUGACAAAGUUGGCUUUUCUAGCUGGAAAAGGCAUGAAAUUCUAAGAUUUCUUGAAUAAGAAGCAUGUCUGAGCUUUAAAAUCAACAAGUAUACCACAAGAAAUAACGUGGUGUUUAUUUACCACCACACUUCCUAACAAUGUUUCUAGUAUAAUUCCUAAUUUAACUAUGUUUAGAAUACAAAAUUCCAAUCAAGUGCAAAUACAAAAGAUUCAAAUAAAUAUCAAAUUCAACUUCCAUCAAACCACAAGACCAAUUUCUUAGAUGCUUAAGAUUUAGAAGUUAACCUUUGAAUCCCAUAAAAAGUUCCCAUUUUCAAUUGAGAUGGUUGGAAUUCCAACUUUAAGAGGCAGAUUUGGUGCUAAAAUUCUCUCUUCAGCUAGAAAUAGUUCCUCCAAGCGUUGCAAUGAUAUAUUUGCAUUUACAACCUACAGAACAAGUUACAGUUAGACACCUAAGAAAGAAUACAGCCAAUAUGAGUAAUCAUACAACACACAAGGUAAGCUAAUUAGCUCUUGACUAAAUAACAUGAAUUUUGUUGUAAGCACCUAAUACAGCCACAUAUUCAUUGAAGAACAUGAUAAUUUUGUCUUGAGAUAGAAUUAUGCAAGAAAAUAAAGCUAGUAAUUUUUUCAUUUAAAAAAGUUCUUUAUAUCUCUCCAACUAAGUUUUGGCAUAAUUAUAAAUAUUUUGGUAUGAACAUUUUAUCUUGGGAUUUUGUUGAUAGAAAAGUAUUUUGUAGGAUUUUUGGAUAGAAGACUUCUUUACACGGGUUUUUAAUAACAAUCCUCGCAUGUUUAAAAAACAACAGGUUUUAGAUAAAGGAUUAAAUUCAUGCUUUUUAGGAAAAACUUGUAUUUCAGAUCAUUAAUCUUUUUUUCAAAACAGCCAACCGCACUAGCAAACACAAAUAUGAUAUGUGACAUGAAACAUGAAGAAUUAUGACAAGAAUGCAAGGACUUGUUUUUUAUUUUUUGUUUUGAGGGGGGAUCGGUUUGCAUCAAAGGCAGUGCUGGCAUCAUCAACAAAACUUGUAUAUUAUCAAUUAUUAUUAGUGAAAUAGAAAAAAUAACAGAACCUGGCUUAGUAAGCUAGGAAGCAUGUUUAGAGGAGAUCUUAAGACUUGAAACAAAGAGAGUGACGUAAAUGCCUUUGCAGGUGUCAAAUCUCCGCCAAGAAAGGUGAAUGUGCCAAAUGAAACCAGUGUCACAAUAACUGGGAUGAUGUUCAGUAUAAAACUAUUGAACUGCAAAAGAAGGGAAAUAGUCAGUCAAUGCACAUGUAAGGUUCUCGUACAUUUAACACCAGCAGCACAUAAAGAUUGCAGUGCUUUGGUUAGUAUUGCAUUUGCAUAUAGAGGAUGAAGAUCACUUAUGCAACAAAAUAAACGAAAAAUCAUGCCCUUUCAAGUGAUUAGUUAUAGUGUCUCCAUGAUCAUUAUAAUUCUACCAAAUUAGAUUAACUGAUAUGCUUAUUUACAUAUUAGAGGAGCAAAUCAUUAUAAUUAUACCAAAUUAGAUUAAAUGAUAAUCAUAUUUACAAAUUAGAGCAAAAUAAAUGAUAAAAUACAUGUUAGAAGCAUUGUUUGGAAAUAGAUUUUAACAUUAUAUAUAUAGAUACUUGUUCUCUAUCGGAAUGUAGUUGCAUACUCAAUCAAUAAGUCAAAAUUUAAAUGCACAAGCUUCUCUCUCUCUUUUUUUAUUUUUAUUUUGACUGAGGUGCACAUACUUAUCAUAACUCAUAGGUAUACAUGACUCCAUAGGUGGUGGGAUGUAGGAUAUGAUAGAAAUUUUGGCAAUUGUUUCUUCUCAAGACAAAUCAUACUUCAUAGUUGGAUCACAUUUACAAUUUUCUAGAUUUCACUAUGAAUAUAAUUUUAAAUGGUAUCAUUGAAGCAUCAUGCUUUUUGCAUGUUCUUGGAAGAGAAGGAGCAACAAAAUAAUCAGCAAGAUAUAUAGUUUUUUCCAUACAGCAGAUAGUAAUUGUGCACUGCGAAACCAUGACAACUCAUCAUCCCGCACAAUUUGAAUUCUGGAUUGAAAGCUCUUCUCCCAUGCAUAACAUCUGAAAUAUUUCAUUAUAGACUCAAAACAAUCACUUGAAAUGACAUGACACUGAAAAUAUAAAAGCAAUUCUUCUUAAACUUAAACCAUACUUCACAGCAUCCAUGGCAGCCAAGAUUUCAUUCAUGAGGCUAACUCUUUUGUCUGUCCUAUGCAAUCCUUCCUUAGUUAGCUUUCUCAUCUUGCUCAUCAAAAUUGUCUAUCGCAUAAAAAGAUUAAAAGGAAUGAAAAUCAAUUUGGAUGAAAUGAAAAUGGGUCACUUAACUAAAUUAAUUGCACAAUUCUAUCAAACUACAGAAGUAAUGAUACUUCUAAAAUCUAAUGACUUGAUACAACAACUCUGAGCAUAUAAUACACAAUUUAUCUAUGGAUUUUAACUAAAUUUUGUAACUUGUGCUGGAGUUAGAAAAGGUAACUUCUGAUUUCAUGUUUUGACUCAAAAUAUCUUUUCAGGCAUAAAAAGACAGCAACUUGAAGUGAUAUGCAUUGUAAUAUUACCAAACAUAUUAGUAACUUACAAAAUUUACUUGUGGACUUGAUUUACAAUUGAUAAAUUAAAGUAACCCCGCACCUUGCAAAUUGCAAGUCAAUCUUUUAGUACAGUGGAAAUUUUCCUUCCAUAUGUGAGGUGAAACGCUCAUAUAAGGAAGGAAGAGGGGCAAAUGUUAUAUCCAAAAUUUAGUUAGGCCCAAUAAAUUUGUUUAAAUGUAUAAGAGGCAUGCUAAUUGGAAACUCUCAUAACAAGAAAAACAGUUAUAAGAGAUAAGCAUGUGGAUCGAUUUUCCCAACAACCUGGAAGAGAGUGGAGACUAAUGAAGUGUGAUAAUAGCAGGAAUUGACAACAAAGAGAAUUACAAGACAAUGUGGAUGGUCGGAAAAAGAACGUGGAGCAUUGAAAAUAACGUAACGAGACAAUAAGGUAUUAAUACAAGUUGAAGUAGAGGAAAAACACAUCAAUCAACACGUUAACAACACAACAAUCAACUUGCAAACUGCAAACAGCUCUCGGAGCUCUUUCUCCCAAGUUUCAGGACACCUGAAGCUUGUUAUGCUAUAGCUGUAGGCAAUAACACCAUAGGCUGAUAGAUAGAUUUGUAUGUUAUAGUUUGGUUACUCGGGUUCUACUUUGUAAAUUAAAAGUGUCUGUAAGCUCUUAAACAAUCUUCUAGUACUCAAUUCUUGCAUGAAUAUCAUGUUUGAAGGAAGAGUCCAGGUUUGUAAACAAAAUUUCUCACCAAUGAAAAUAAGUUCCCUUUCUAGUCUUGAGUGUUAUUAAAGUUGCAAUCUCACUUUUGUUACUUGUAUGUUGCUUGAUUCCAAAAUUAGUAGCAUAAGCAUAUUAUUUAUUGCCAUAAAGUUUGGAGAGUAUAGUCAUCGGUUUAGAGAUCAUCUUUAUUAUACACACAUAACAGAAAAAAGUCAUGUUGAUGGUACAAAAAUGGUGUAAUUAAGCCUUCAAUUGUAUGAGGUGUUGGGUACCACACCAUUGUUGCUUAUUUUUAAGAGUUGAUGUGGCACAAUUAUAUUGCCAUGGUUCAACCAGCCUGAGUCAGGCGGUUAUGGAGGUUUUUGGAUGAUUCGAUCAAACCAGUCUUUAAUGGUUCUUGUAGGGAAAAUUAUAAGUUAAUCUAUUCCCUCAACCUAGACCAUUCUAGAUCUAAUUCACCUAUUAAACUAGCAGGUCCAGUUUAGUUCUAAUAACACUAGUACACCCAACAAACCAACAAGCCAUUAAAGAAUAUUCUAGUGUGCCUACGUAACUUGAAAGCUAAGCCAUCUAUUCACACCUUAAAUAGACCUUGCCAUAUGAGGAGACCUUCAUACACACAAAAAAGCUACUCUAUAAGUUAUGAGCACAUCAAUUAACAUUUUGGAGUGCUUGAAAAUUUUAUUUUUAUUGAUAUUAAAUAAAUUAUGGUUGAUUUGAAUGACGUGAAAAGAUCAAUACAAUAGACCCCAUCUAGUUUGAGAUUGAGGGACACUUGUUUGUUGUGUCAAUAUUAAAACAAUAUAAAGGAAUAGCACACAUAUUGUAUAUUAUAAAACUAAUUAACUAAGACAAGCAAAUGUUGAUUCUAAGAAUCAAAACACUAAAUUUAGCAAAAGGAAGAAUAUUUCUUACUUGUGUGGGGACCAUGAGAACAAGCAUUAGCGAGCCAAAAAGUGAAGCAACACCUAAUUGUUGAUAAAGAAGAACCAUGGAGAUGGUGAUACGAAAUGGAGCAGACCACAAUCCAUGAAGUUGUUGGCAUAUUUGCUACACAAUACAAUGGCAGUGCAUUUUAGACCUUAAUAAACAAUGGAAAAAGAUCGAAUAUUGGAGAGGAAAGGUAAAAAUAAAAAUAGGAUAAAUGGCUUGAUGUGUCCAUGUAUAAUUAAAAAGGUCUCCAAUAUUAUCUCUUUUAUCCUUGUAUAGGACUCACAUUCUUUAAUAUGUUCCUUUAAAUUUUGCCAUCUAAAUUGAUAAAUGUGUAUUUUUUUGGUUUCAAAAUUACCCUUAAGCAAUACAAAGAUGUACUAUAAAUAAUUGAGAAUGUAGGGACAUGUUGGAGAUUUCUCCAACUAUAUAACUUGUAAAAUUAAUUUUUUAAUUAGCAAAUUGAUUCAUUAAUUUUAGGGGAAGAUAAAGGGAUGUUAGAGAGUCAUGUAAUUUAAAACAACUCAAAACAUAGUAGUUGUUUUUUUUAUAGAAUAAUUAUAGUAGUUAUUGAUUAAUAUAUUAAAUGUUCAACUAUAAUAAAAUUCUUAUAUUCCUUUUAAAAAUUAAUUAUUUCAUAAUUCACAACCUAAAAAACAAUGGUUAUCUCCCUCUUCCCUUGGAAAUUCAUUGUUACAUAUAACUCCCAAAGCCAAGAUUCGAGAACAAGCCAAUCACACAUAGGAAGGACAAAAAUGUUGGCCACCUCCCUCCUCCCCAAGUUUUUAAAAAUGAAAAAAUUAAGUUUUGUUUAACAAACUUCAUUUUAAACAAAAUUAAGAACUCAAAAUAUUUAUAAUGUUUUAGAAAUUAAGAAUUAGUUUUUAGGAAAAACUACAGUUCUUGAAAAUGUAUUAAGAAAUAAAAGAAAAUGUGAAAAUUGCUCAAACAUUAAAAAAUAUCACAAUAAAACAAUUAAAAAAAAGUAAGGACAUGAUGAAGACUUCCUAAUUAUACAAGGACAAGGUCAUUUGGAUAGGAUAUCAAUAAGUAUUUAUGAUAUACAAAAAUUAUUUUAUUGCCAUUAUAAUUUCUCUUCAAAUUCAUAUAAUAUAUAAUGUUCCAAGUAGACACUCACUCUAAUGAAUAAUUAAUUCUCUUUUCUCAUGACAUGAGUCAUUAAAUGCAUAUUAAUAGUUCUUUAUAAAGAGCAUACCUGAAGUGCAUUGGCAUCUGUUGUGAUCAUAUUUGUUAUUUUACCUGAUGGGAAGUUCUUUCGACCCUUAUGAGUUAGUUUCAAGGAUUUACGAAAUAUAGCAGCCACCUGCAAUUGGAAAAGGCUGCUGUAAAAAUAGCUAACUCAUCCAGAAACAACAAAGCAAGAAUUUGGAUUUGGCGAACAACCAAAAUUCCAAAGAAAAAUGAUGCUGAAGGAUAUAUUUGAAAACAAGUUCACAUACAUCUAAAUAUUGAUAAGAAAAUAGUUUUACCAGAGUUGACCUCAGCUGAAAACCAACACGCAUAACAUUCUGGAAAAACUGAGAUUCACAAAGCGCACCAAACAACUGAACCAUGUAAAUCAACCAAUUAAUCCAAAAACUAUAUUCUAUUGGCAAAUAUACAUAGUAUAAUAAAUUUAGCCAAACAAGAAGAAACAUGGUUAGGAGAAUAAUGGGAGUGGCUAUCCACAUAGUCUAGCAACAUUUAGAUACAUGAAGAAUUGCUUGAUUUUAUUUGUCACAACAUUAAACAUUACAGUGGCUAGUUAUACUAUGUUACAAGGAAAAUUACGAGUGGCUAAGACUUCUUAAGUUUUUGGACUCGAUGAACAAGUAACAUUACCUUGACGAUCAUAUGAUCAAGUGAUACUCAGCUACCAAAGGAGAAAAGAUUGAAAUAAAGCAACAAAAAAAUAUUUAAAUUAAGGAAAAAAGAUCUAGAAAACAAUUUAAAAAAACAACAAUAAAGCUAGAAUAAAUAAGUUUAAUGUUUUAAGCAACAAUUGAUAUGAUUUAUUUGAUUGAUUGGUGACAGUUUUGCUACAAAAUCAGCUACACUUCAUAUUUAUAUACUCAAAGUCAUAUAACAAACACUCUAUAAAAGGAAUAUAAAUCCUCCAAAACUACUUGAUUUUUAAAUUUAUAACUUUGACUAUCAGUUAGCUUCACUAUCAACAAUCCCAAAUACAAGUGUAACCUGCAGUUGAACAUUUUGCGAGUACUAAAGGCUUCUCAAUUAUCAUUAACAGUAGUUAAAUGCUUAAAACACUAUUAUAUCAACUAGAAAAUCCCCAAAUAAAACCUAACCAAAUAUGUGCAAUUAAAUGAUGAAAUAUGUAAACUGAGUUGCUUGAAUGUUAAUACAUACAAUGGAAUAUAUUAUGUAUGCCAUAAGAUCAAGCUAAGGAAAUAAAACAGAUAACAUCAUACGAACAGUGAAAUUAAACAGAUGAAGGUAGAGAAAAAUGUUUAUACAUAUUCAAUUUGUUUCAUAUAAAAAUGAAAUUGAAAGAAUAGAUGAGUUCGAAUUCAUACCACCCCAAGGAAAAUUAUGAAGGCAUAGAUAUAACCAAUCCAAGCUGGAUCACCUCGUUGCAUUGCCUGCAUGUAGUGGAACAAUUACAAAUUUGGCAGCAUAAGCACGAUGUGUAAGAGAUUUGAAUUGUGCUACAUAUCAAAUUUGAGUUACUCAAUUGAACUAUUUCUAUCAUAGGAAAAAUGCUAUUCAAUAGAGCAAUUAUUGAAGCAUAGAAAAAAUAAUCUUUGACUAAAUGUUGAGAGACAUUUGGUGCAAUCAAGAAAGCACAUAAAAAGAAUAUAGAUUAUUAUUAGUAUUAUCAAAAUCCUUCUGUAUGAAAUCUAAAUAAAUUCUUACCAAACAUGAAACGCUAGCUAACAGCAAAAUCGAUGUCAUGCAUUAUAUAAAACAAGGCUUUAACAAUAAAAAAACAGACCUGCAAGAGGUGGCUCAAUACAAUAGGUCCCACAAAUUGAGAAAGAUCAUGGCCAAUCUACAAGUAAAAAUAAAAAGGUAUAAGCCCCACAUGACUUAUGACAUUAGUAGAGAGUUCCUAAAGUCCACUUUGUUAGGUUUUAGUCUAGAACAUCAGUUUGGAUUGAAAUUGUUACAAUAGCAGAGAGAAAAUAUUGCAGGGUCCAUAACUAAUAAAGGUUGAAAUUGAGAGUAUUCCCUACAAUUUAACAGUUGAGGCAACAAUUUUGAUAUAUAUUAUGAGUCGAGCAAUAAUAUCCCAACAUGCAAUAGGAAAAUAAAACUAAAAAGCUCAAGCUUCCAAGUUCACCAAAUUCAAACUAUAAGAUAGAAAAAGUAAGGAUGUUAAUUUAUUGAGAGAUUAAACAAGUUAAAGCAAUCCUAGGAACAUGUACCUUAAAAAAUCCUCCCAACCAAAACCUAGAAAAUGAGAGAUGAAAAUGAAUAAAAUGCGAUUAAUAUAUAUUGGUAAUAGCAAAAGAAAAUAUUUACUACAAUAAGCUAAAUAGUAGAAACAUCUCGUGCAUUGUAAGUAAUUUUACAACACUCCUGAUAUGUUUUUCUUAUUUAAACCUGUAAACUAUAGGAUGUUUUCAUUUGUAUUUCUUCUCUUAGAUUUAUCAAUUUUAGUUUUUAAAUACCGUGUAUAUGCCAUCUGUUUUUCUCAUAAAUCAUCAAUAAAAUCAUAAGAAUUAUAAGGGUUGAUUUCUUGAUGAUACUUUGAUCAUAAUGUUGUUGGAGGGUGAUUUCUUGAUGAUUUUUUUAUCAUUUUCUUUUAUGAUUUUGGAAAAAAUUAUAGGAAAACAAGUGGAACUCAGAUUCUAAGUGAUGGAUAAAUGGACAGAAUCUAACAUAAAGGUUCUAAAUCAAAACACCUUAUAAUUUAAGAGUUGAAAUAAGGGAAAACAAUUGUUAAAGGGUCUCAAUCAAACAAAAAACAUAUAAUUCAGGAGGUUUUACGAAGGAUAAAGCCACCAUGGUAUGUUUAAAGUCCAAAAAGUAUCAAAAUGAAAGGGAAUGAAACAACAUGAGACUUGCAAUUCAACCCAUACCUUCCCCCAAGACUACUGUUUAGUGCUCUUAAGAGACGUGGCUUUGGCCUUUUAAAUUCUUCAACCCAACAAGUCUGGAACCUGCAAUAGCUGAAAACAUUUAGGAAAAAAGGGAUACGAGGUUUCCCUUAAACUAUGAAAGAGAAGAACGUGGUGCGUACUUUUUUAUCAAUGUCUCAGUCUGGUCCCAUGUGUCUAACUUCCAAACAUCCUUUUCAGUAAUAGGUCUUUUAUGGCCUUGCUUCAUGAGUGGAGUCAACCAUCCAAAAAAUAUUCCUUGCAGAGGGAAAUGAAUCAAUUUAUCUAUAAGCAUUUAAAAAAUUAAUGACUAACCAGCUUAGCAAUCACUGAAACCACACUUUUGAUCUCUAGCCAACAUGCAGUUCAUUACUUUUUCUGUCAUAAGCAACCGCUUGAGAAAUAGAAGCAAGAAUUUUGAGAUCUCUUGGCAUUGAGAACAGUGAAUAAUGAACUACUUACUAGAAAAUAAGUUGGCGUGCCUCUCAGGACAUAAUUGCUCUCUUCCAGGAAGUGCUUCAUAUUCACAAUUAUCAAGAGACUCGGAUUCCAUCAUAACAUAAUCUGGAUAAGGAUCCAAAUUGGGAAUAUAAACAAGUAGAAGAAUCCCAAGCAAAACCUGCAACAAAAGUAGCCACACGGCAAAAUAUGACUGAGGUGUUUGUCAUUUUUGGGAAUGAUUAAGAAUUUGGUCGAGCUAAUGAAACAAAAUUGAACUUCUAUGCCAAGAAUUAGUGUUGAUGUCAUCGGUGUAUUCUAAACAACUCAAUCGUUUUGGUAUCAAUCUGUAACAUCCAAGAUGUUGUGGUGGCCUGUGGAAAAAAAGUGGAUUCAAUCAAGGCUUAAGAACCUGCCAGGCAGUUCGAGUAAGAAAUUGUAUCUAUUGGCUGUUUAGCAUCAGGAUAAGCCUAGAGGUUCCAACAGGCUCCAUCCUAUCAUCUAAAGAUGCCAAUAUCCAUGGCAUUGUCCACUCCCCACCUUUACCAACUUAAGAAAAUCCCAACAAAGAUAUGUUAAUGAGUAUCAAAACAUCCAAAACAAAGCAGCUUUCAUGUCAUUCUCACAAAACUUUAAAAAUUCUCCCUGGAAUGUUGUUGUUAGGUGCUUAAUUUAAAAAUGUUGUUGAUUUGGUUUAUAAGGCCAAGCCAGGCUAGGCUCAAGUUGUAAUGUCCUCCAAGGCCAUGGAAAGUGACUUCAGUUUUGAUAGACUGAAGAAGAGUCAAAAUUUGUACAAAAAACAGCUAGAGAUGUUCACCUUAGCAUAAGCAUUUACCAACCCUGAUUGAAGGCUAUUGAAUGGAUGAUAGGUCAAAGUAGCAUGAAGAAAGAUGAGAGAAUUAAAAGAGCUGAUAUACCCUAUAAUCUUUAUAUUAUAGAGAAAUAAAAGGCCACAAACCUGGCAGAAAACCGUGCUGAUAUACAUAUACAAUGUAAAUCUGCAUUCGCAAAAGAACUGUAGUUUAGUGUUGCCUCCAACAUAAAUUGAAUGAACAGCAGAAAAUAAUACUGUUAAUCCUGCAAGCAUCCUUAUCUAGAAUAACCAUGAAAUCUAUAUUAGUCAUGCCCAUCCAACCUCAUUGCAAAUUGCAUUUAUGCGAUAAACUUGCUUCUUGAGGCUUGUACAGCAGGAUUACCUAUUCUCACCAACAAAUAGUUUAUUUCUGCAAAUGUUUUUUAGCCUGUAUUGCACAAUGUCUUGACUUGCAUGUGGAUUGGAUUGUAUCAGAGUCCACUGACAGAUUGUUCAUUGGAAUUAAAAAUUCAGGAAUUUAAUCCCCACCCCACCCUUCCCUCUCUUUAUAAAUAAGAUGGCAGGACACUUCUCCUGUUAAAAAAUUCAGCUUCUAAAAUUUUCCUUUUCUUAUUCUCAAUUGUGACAAGUUUGGCAGAAGCCCAGAUUGUAAUUAUGGUCACCAUUACUAUCUUUCUAUUUUAUUUCCCCUGAAGCCUACUAUAUAAUUUAGCAUCACUCAUUUUAUCAACUAAGUAAUUACAAUAAUGUUCUCCAGCCAAUAGUACAACAUUGCUAUCUUUUUAUUUGAUGGGGCUGUUGCACAGAAAAAUAAAAAAAACCUUGCUCACAUUAAAUGGCACUCCAACCUGCUGGAAAAAUACACGAAAAUAGAACAUGGUUGAGUUAAUUUAUUAUGUCAGGAAAUGGAAGAAUGACUAACCUACUGUAGUAAUCACUCACUGACAGUAUGAGAUUGAGCAUUGCCGCUUCCCCUACCAACACAUAAAUGACUCCAAACCGCACAUACCAUCGAAACUGUCGAAUGUAUAUUUUUGUUUCCAAACCAAUCAUGGUAAGAGUGGAGCACCAGGCAAGGGCCUCAACAAUCAAGGAGACCAGCUGCAAAGGACAGAAAAUCCACUAAGAAGCCAGUAACAGGAUUAUCAGAAGAACAAGUUAAAUACAGAUUUUUUUGAAAAACAAAAGAAAAGAAAGACAGCCAGCAAAUGCUGAUUUAGAAAUAUGGUUUAUCUUUGACAGAUACUUUAGAAGUCUAAAUUAACGAGAAAUUAAGUUCAUGUACCUCGAAGGGAGAAAGGGAAGUCUGGCCAUCCAGAUUGAAGAUUGAGACAUCCAUAAACAACCUUAAUAAAGGCUGAACUGUGCAGUAAGCAGCCAAAAAACCCAGCAUGUAAUUAUAGUAAUUUGUCCCGAGACAGUAUUUUUGAACUUUGGUAUUGUUGUCAAUAAUCAACCAUAUUCGAUACAAGCACAGACCAAGAAGAACCAGAUGAGAAAUGCAAAUGACUAGGGAGUCAAUGGCACAGGGAGUGUAAGCACCAAAUGCAUUAUCCACUUCUUUUGCCCAAACCCCAUUUGACACAGGUCGACAAUACCAAACCAAUGCCUCCAAACCCAUCUUCCCACCUCCCUAAGCAAACCAAAACUGCUUGCUUUACCUACAGUUGAUCAAACAGAGAGAGGAAAACAGAAGAAAAACAUAACAAAAUGAGUAACAGAACACAUCGCUAAGGAGAACAGCAAGUACAAAUAGUACUGAAAGAAAUCUCUAACAUUAACAAGUUUAAAUGAUAGAAUGGUCAGCUUGCUUGUUCUGACACUCCUACUGGUCCUUUGCAGAACGAAUGAUAUCUGAGCGUGUUGAUUAACGUCAGAAACAUAAACUAGAGCUAGGAGUGUUGCUUUUUCAUUUUCAGGAUAGUCGUUUAUUUGCUUAAUUUAAUAAGGAGUAUAUAAUUUUAUUUUUUUUGGAUAAGGUUUAUAAUAUAUAGUAUUCAUGGAAAUACAAACGACAAAUGGAAAUCUAUAAAGGUAAUUCAAUGGGUUAGGUUUUAAAUUUAAUUUUUAAUGAUUAUAAGUUUGAGUGCUGGUUUAUAUAAUCAUUACUUUUUUUAAAGGUAAAAUUAAUCAUGCUAUAUACAAGUUGUUUGAACAUCCAAGUUAAAAAAAAAAAUCCAUAAUAGCAAGCGUCACGGCUUACUUGACUGGCACUCCCCUCUCACUGAUUAUUCUUAUUUAUGAACGAGUGAGUGAGUAGCAGGCAUCCAUACAACUAAUUUCCAAAGCUGGUGUUGCAUUUGGAAGCAUAUACUUUUACAUUAAUGAAGUCAGUGAUUAAUUGUAAAUUAAAAUGCCACCUAUGGCGGGGAGGGGAUUUUGUAAGCCUCGGAUAAUUUAUUUCCACCCUUAUUUUGUCUCUUCUGUUGCUUGAUCUAGCUGGAUAUAUUUGAAAGUAUGGUUAAAAGUAAAUUACUUUUCAAAAUAAUAUAUUUUCCAAAAGCAUACUUAGUUACUUUGCUUACAUCUCUGUUCUUAUCCAAUAAUCUGAGACUUUGAGUAUAUAUUGUUUUUUUAUUAUUAUUUUAAUGUGACGAUAUUAAAAAUAAAUUUUAAAAAAAUUAUAUUAUUUUAAUAUAUUUUUAAAUUAAAAAAUAUUUAUCAUAAUUUUUAACAAGCUCUUAUCAACCCAUAACAAACGGACUCGCUAUUCAAAAGCGACCUUCAAAAUCCAUUGCAAUUUCACGAAGUAUCAGAAUUAAAUUAUGAAGAACAACACUUCCAAAACUGAUUUAAAGUUUGUUCACAAGUAUGGAAAUAAUUCUAGUUUAAAUUAUUUUUUGUUAAAAAAUAUAUCAAAAUAAUAUUUUUUUUAGUUUUUAAAAAUUAUUUUUGAUAUUAAUAUAUUAAAAUAAUUUGAAAAUAUAAAAAAAUAAAAUUUUAAAUAAAAUUUUUUUUAAGUUUUUAGAAAAUAUUAUUUCAGUUAUAUUUCCAAAUAUUAUCUGAUAUGAUUAUAUUUUUUUAAAAAUUAUUUUUUUAUAUUUUUUAAUUAUUUUAAUGUAUUAAUAUUAAAAAUAAAUUUUAAAAAUAAAAAAAUAUAUUAUUUGAAUAUAUUUUUAAAUAAAAAUAAUUUAAAGAACAACUACAAACAACCAACCUAUUAGAACUUUUAUCAAACACAUUAAAGGCACACAAUUUCUUAUAGCGACACAGCAACAACGAAGAACAAAUCUUUGAGAGAGAAAAACCCCAGUUUAAAACAAGAUUAAAAACUCACCUUCGAGAUCAGGAGGAUACCCAUGGUAAACGUAGCAAGUAUCUUUUUGCUAGCCAGAGCCAAACAGAAGCGAUCAACAUUCAACACAAAGAAUCCCCCCAUGAACUUAGCCAUCUGCAGACUGAACAUGCCACUUUGCCUUUGGGCAACAAAUUCAUGAAGAAGAAGAAGAUAUUAAGAAAAACGAACAAAGAGUAGCUUAAUCAUGUUAAGGCUUCACCUUAACAAAGCUAAAGAGCUUAAAAAUCGAAGAGAGAAUUAGAAGAAGAAAAGAAAUCGAGGGAGAAGUAGAAGAAAGAGAGGGAGAUUGAAACUGUAACCGCAGAAUUUAUUCUUUCAUUACCUGCCUUACAAGUUCUUCGAACUCUAGCCUCCUAACCAUCUCAACUGACUAUAACUAACAAUUAACAGCUCUGACCAGCUAACCACCGUAACUAGCUGACUUUCAUCACACGCCCUUUUUUAUAUUUACACUUGCGAAAUAAUUUAUUUUUUCAAGAGAAAAAUUUCAUCUUUUUUCUUGCAUCAUCAGCAUACAAAAGGAGGAGGUGAAAGAGAGAAGUAGAACCUGCCGUAGUCGUCCAAUGCAUUAGCGGGCGUCUGUUUGAAUGAACUCUUGAUCGAUCACAAUAAUUGGAAUGUACGCGAUCUUUGGCCAAAACACUUAACUUAUACUACACAUUUCUUUUCUUCAAAAAAAAAUAUUUUGAAUUAUUCUAUUAUAUACUUCUAACUUAAGAUUAUUUUAACUCCUUUUAUUUAUAAAUUAUCUAUGAAAUAGUUUUUAAAUUAAAACCUAAAGUCGCAUUCCAUGAGCUCAAGAUUAUAAUAAUUACUUGCUUAUUAGAGAGAGGUUCGUGGUUUUUAUAACCUUUUUAUAGCUAAUUAGCACGUUGAGCAAAUUUAUUUUUUAAAUUAAUAAUUUUCACUCUAAGAUAAAGAUAAUAGUUGUGCAUGUAGCAUGCACAACCUAUAGUUCACAACAUAUAGUUGUUGCAAAGGUUUUAUCAUUUGAUUUUGUUUGGCUAGGUGUUUUUUUUUUUUUUGAGAGUGAUAAUGUAGAUUAUUUAGCUAAAAAUUUAAAAUGAAUUUUACUAUAAGUUGCAUAUUUACUACAUGUGCAAUUAUUGUUUAUGAGAUAUAAUGAAAAUUAUUUUCUCAUUAGAAAAUAAUUUUAUCUACAGUGUUAAUGUGCGGAAUAAACUCACCUUUUUUCCUUUUUUUUUAUCAUCAUCAACUACAAUAACAACAAUAAAGGGGGUAAAAUUACCCUUAAAAAAAUACUUAAAAUAAAUUCUAAUUUCUUUAAAAGAAAAACCUCCUUUCAAUAGGUAGUUAUAAAUACAGUCAGUACAAAAUUGUUAGUGACAUCUAGUUCUUCCUCUUUAGCUAAUUUUUUUUUUUCCAGACUAUGCAAAUCCAAAAUGCUCCCCAAUUCCAGUCCAAGCCCUGGACAGAAGCUUUAUAUAUACAUAUACAUAUAUAUAUACAUAUAUAUAUAUAUAUAUAUAUAUAUAUAUAUAUAUAUAUAUCCCACUUAACAAAUCUUAAAAUUAUUUAGCUGAGAUUUGAAAUUAGCAUUUUAAAAUUUAAAGAAUCGGAACACAUUCUAUCUUAUAUUGAAAAAUAUAUCUCAACCUUUGUAAAUCAAUCACAUCUUAUUUUUAGUUUAUCAUAUAACAAUGUAUAUUUAAAUACAAUAAAAAAUAAGUUUACUUCUUUUUAAUUUAUCUUAUGUAAAUAUAUGUUUACAUACAUUACAAAUUAAUACAUAAAUUAGUUAUUCUUUAUAAUAAUUUUAACAUGUACUGUCAACUUUAAGUACACUUUUAAACAAACACUUAUAACCUGUUAUUUAUUAAAAAUUAUUUUGAACUAUAAUUUUAACAAAACAUAUAUUUAAAUCAAAUAUACUACAAUAAAAAGUGAUUUUUGAAAACCAAUUUUUUUAAAAAAAUUUAACCAUAAAAACAAACUCACCUUUACAUAAGAUGAGCAUAUGUUUAAAAAUUGUUUAAUUAUAUUACGUUUUGACCGAUACACCACCAAAGUCGUUGUAGUAUAGUGGUGAGUAUUCCCGCCUGUCACGCGGGUGACCCGGGUUCGAUCCCCGGCAACGGCGCUUUUCUUUUUAAUCUUAAUCGCCUCUUCUUGAUUACUUCUAUUAAAGCCUAACGAAGUAAUAAACCUUCAUUAUUAACAGUCAUCAUACGGCUUUUUUUUUUUUUUUUGGUAUAGAAGAAUUUAUUUUUUUGCUAAUUUGUUAACAUAGUCUUCUUUUUUUUAUUCAAGGGAUCUCUCUCAUUUAUUUAUUUUCCUUAAAUUACUUGAAAUAAUAAAUACUUGAUAAUUUUUUUUUCAUUUUAAUACAUAAUUCCCCCCCCCCUCUCUCUAUGUGGUAAAGUUUUAAAUAUGUUUUGAGUGGAGAAAAUAUUUGAGUUUUAGAUAAUAACUCGAAAAUCCACUUGCUAAUCAAAGCUAAAUCUUAAAAAAAUAAUUGACUAGUAAUUAUAUAUGUGAUUGCGUGCCCAUUUUAAAGAGCAAAUUGAACAUUAUUUACAUCUUUGAAAGUCAGAAUCCUCAAAAUCCUUCUGCAAGUCAAUUAAUUAGGGUAAGUAGUUAAAACUAAAUCUAAAUAUUUAUUAGUAGAAAUCUAUGAUUUUGGUUUAAGUAUUUUUAUUUGAUGAAAAUCUCAUGAUGUUAACUGGAAAAAAAUAUUUGAAUUUAUUAACAAGCUAGUUAUAAGAUUUGGUUUGAUUUAAAAUAUCAAUUCAAUAGCCUUCAAUAGGUAAACUAGACCGGUUUACAUUAAUAAAAAAAAUCUAGUAUUUUUAUUAAAAUAUAUAUAUAUAUAUAUAUUUUAAUAAAUCCAAACUACUUCAAUAAAUUUACUAAUUUUACAAUUUAAUCUAUUCGCCUCAUAAUUCUCAGUCUUAUAACUAUGAACAAGAAUUAAAAUUUGUUUGGAUUGUAUAAUUAUUUCAAUCACUUUAUGGCAUCUCUCUCUAAACAGGAAACGUAAGCUUUAAAAUUUAGACACUCAUGUCAUGAAUUAACUGUUGUCUAUUUAAUACAAUAUACAAUCCUUGAAAUUUAUGGAAUUGUUAAAAUUUAUACAGUACACAUUACUUUACAUUAUUAAUUAAUUUUAAUUACAAGAAAAGGUAAAGAUAAUAAGAUUUAAAUUUAUAAUUGCUUGGUCAACAACUUUAUACCAUAUCUAAUUAUUAUUUCAAUCCAAAAAUUUAAAUUACUAAAUGAAAUCUUAAGAUAUGAUUUAUAUUAUUAUGUAACCUAUAAUAUAAAAAAGAUUAUAAAAGGGCUUAUCCUCUUUAUUUUUAUUCUUAUUUAAUACUAAUUUACUUGAUAAAAAAACAUGGCGAUAUGAUUUCAUGUUUAAUUUGAUGAAUAUGUUUGUAUAUUAUAGAAAAGUGAUUGUUUAAUAAGGAAAUACCUAAUUUUGCUUCUAAGACAAAAAGACAAAGAAGAGACUAAUUAAUUUGUACAGGUGGAAAGACUAAUUAAUUUGUACAGGUGGAAAGACUAAUUAAUCAGAACACUUUGUAUAGGAGGAAACAUUUAUUAAUCAAUAAUAAAUUACAAACUGGAACUCUUUCUGCCUUGCCAAUAUCAUGCAGUGGUCCGAAAACCCUAAUACCAGCCUAGUUCCUCAAGUUCAGAUCAAUGCUAAAUUCCCCUGAUAUGGGAUUGACUGUGAUAACUAAUACAAUAUGGGGGAUUUCAAUUGUACAUCAAAAGUUUAUGUAGCAGAGGUUCUCUUUACUUUCAGCAGUCCCAUCUGAAAUUUGCUACUGGAUGAUCACUCAAAAUCGAGCUACCAGCUUUCUCUGUUGAGGUGCAGACUAGACUCGUUUCUUAGAACAUCGAAUUUCCCAUUGUUCCCUAAAUUUUCAAAUCAUCCCAAUCAAGGGAUUCGUUUUCAUAAUCAUAUUGUUGAUGCCUACCGCGUGACAACCUGCCCAUUACAGCCAAACCUGAAACAAUCCGGCCAUGUUGAAUCAGAAAGUGUAGGCAAAACCACUUAUACCUGAUCGUCAAAAUUCACUAAAAAAAAAAAGAAUAACCACGGUUGUUGUAAUGAUCAACUUCUACCACAACUACAAUGCUUGUGCACGCAUGCAAGUAAUCAGUGAACAUAUGUUUAGUGUAUGCACACAGGAAAAUUGUGGCUGUACCUUCAAUCAUUCUGUAGAAAGCUGACCACCAUCCAUCUUGGGGAACUUGGCUCUGUUGCAGUGUAUCACAUAUCGCUUCGUCAUACUUCCCCACCAGGACAUCCUGCAGCCUUAUAACUGCAUCUUUCGUUUUCCUGAGGAUGCUGUCCUCGUCUCCAACAUCCAACAUUGGAAGACCAUUCUCUGAAGAAGCGAGACUAACAACCAGGGCGAGUUGGGCAGCUGCAGCCCAUCUUGAAGAGUCUAUCCAUCUAUGAUCAUUCUUCCUUUUACUCAACUUAUUCUCUUUACUUUCAAGCACCAGGCUAUACAAGUAUUGAGCAUUUGCUGGACCUGUACUUUGAACCAUCCUAGAGAAUGCGCUUCCUUUGUUUGGUAGUAGCAGUUCCUCUGGGGUGCCAUGUUCUAAGACCUGAAAGGUUGAUGAUUCUAACAUGAGUUGAACAAAGGAUCACUACAUGACAUAUUGGAAUCAUAAAAAAAUUGUGAAUGAAGUUGGUUAGCAUGAAAAUUCUUGAUGAUCCCUGCUUCUUUCUUUUUUUACAUUAAUUUUUUCAGGAUUGUGUUCAAUAAACUCAGUUUUCCAAGCAAGAAGGAAACAGGGAACAACUUCCUUGCAAACAUAAUUUGAGAGCAUACCUGAUCAGCCUCAAGCACAAGAAUUCUGUCGCAGUCAAUAAUGGUAUUUAGUCUGUGAGCGAUGACUAGCAUUGUGCAGGAUCUGAAUUCUUCUCGAAUGGUUUUCUGGAUAAGAGCAUCGGUUCUAACAUCAACAGAAGCAGUAGCUUCAUCAAGAACAAGAAUCUUAGAUCUUCGCAGCAACGCUCGUGCGAGACUUAGUAGUUGUCUCUGUCCAACACUAAAAUUCUCCCCUCCCUCAAAAACCUUAGAAACCAAAACAAAUCAACUUUACAGUUUGCUUUACCCGAUAAUCAACUUAAUGUUGUGCACAUCUGAAAAAAAUAUGUAUUAAAAACAUUUCUUUGACUUUAAAUCAGCUUUAAUGAAAAUCGAUGCCAUAGUUUUUUAGUAGAAUGUUUGCAGUGGAGCACUAUUUCCACCCAUAUGUGUGCUUCAUAUUAGUUUUUGUCACACAUUUUUAACAUUGUUUUUAAAAUAUAUGAAUAGCUAACACAGUUUGACUGAUUAAGAUUCACUGACAGAAGGUAGUUUGAUAAAAGGUAAUCUAAGUCCAUACCUCAGCAUCCAGACCAAAAGAAUUAUUUCUAAUGGCAUCCUUUAAAUGUGCCCUCUCCAAAGCCUCCCAUAGGUCAGCAUCAUUGUGUUCACUAAAUGGAUCGAGAUUAAAUCGCACAGUUCCUAUAAGAAAACGAAAGACAAUUAGAAUGAAACAAGUGUUAAGAUUAAUCACCACUGUGGCUUCAGCUUGGCUAUGGUUUCUCAAUCAAAUCUCAAGUAUUCUUGGUUAGCAAGCUUUCAAGUGGAAAACAAAAUCAAAACAGAGUAAGAGCAUAAAUCAUCUCAACUCAUCCAAAAGACAGUAUCAGAUGUCAACAUAAGAAAAGAAGUUGAAGAAGUUGAACUAGAAAAAUCCAGUUUUCAGUUUCUCUUGACAGUACCUGAGAAGAGAACUGGUGAUUGGGGUAUGAUACUGAGAAUUUUCCGCAAAUCUGUGAGUCCAAACUUAGCAACGUCACAACCAUCAAUGGUGAUUUCUCCUCUUUCCAGUUCUACAAUACGGAACAGUGCAUUUAGCAUGCUAGAUUUCCCUGCUCCUGUUCUUCCAACUAUUCCUAGCUUUUCACUAGGAGAGACUUCAAAGGACAAAUGAUGCAAGACUGGAGGAAGCUCGGGUCUGUAACGCAGAACAACAUCCCUGAAUUUAAUUGAACCUGAAGAAGGCCAAGCAGGAGGAGGACGAUUGGUCUCGACAAUGGCAGGAGCUUCGGAUGGUAAAUCCAUGUAUGUGCCAACACGCUCAACAGAGUUUAAGCUAUUUUCAGCUCUACUAGCUUGUCUUAGAACAUUACUCAACAAAUCAGUGAUGUUCAAAGUAUAACUAAGUAGUAGACCCAUUACAGAUGCAAAUUCCACAUGAUUUUCUGUUCUUCCAUUCCCCAAAACUGCAAAUGUUGCUAUCAACCAAAUCAUGAUCCCUCCUAGUGUUACCAACCUUAUGGUGAGCCAGCGAUUUGAACUCAUAUUUACAAGAGUGAACCUGAUAUUAUUGUCCAUAGACUUUCCAUUGAUGAUUGCCAUCCAAUCAUAUGCUUUAUAUGCACGAAUACUUGACAAACCAUUUAACGCUUCUCCAAAUUGUGCAUAAACCGGAGACCUGGUAAUGGAAUCCAGACGUUUCACUUCACGGGAAGUGCUCUGUACAAUACAGUACAAGAACAUAGUUAUUAGAGCUUGUAGAUACAAUACUGACAAGAUGAAUUAACUAGCAUAAAAAUGUCAAUUCAACAUUAAUGGAUAUAUAUGAUUGCAGAAACAUUAAUGGAUAUAUAUGAUUGAAGCUCAGAAAGAUAACUCUUACAUGUGGAACUGAUAAAAACAACAACAAUAACUUGAUACGUGAAAGAAACCACUCGUAGAGCAUCCCAACCAAGAUACUAAAGUUACAUUCAUUGCAAAAGGCAUACCAGUUUCCAAACAACAACAACAACAACUAGGGAUUUCUCAUCAUACCUGAUAAUAUAGAUAGGCUGAAUAAAACAAGAUCAGAAGUGGCAUAAUGGCCCACAAUGAUAUUGUGCUCACAAUGCCUAUCAGCACAAAAGUUGAAAACAGCUGCCAGGCUUGGUUUAGAAAAUUGUUGGCAAAAUUGGCAACGUUACGAUCUAUUUCACCUAGAUCCUUCGCAAACCUAUUGAUUAUUCUCCCAGAUGGGUUCGUGUGGAAAAAUAGCAUGGGAGCUCGUAGGAUAGAGUCUAGCAUGGCAUCAUGAAGUCUUUUAGCUGCAUGUAGACUUGAACUGAUUAACCAAUAAGAGUUCACUAGAGUCACAAUCACCUGAACCAGAAAUAUGAAGUAAGACUCUAAUGACCAUAGCAAUUACAUAAAUUCUAAAGUUUCUUCCUCACUGCUUCUCUUUUUUGUUUCAACAUCUGUUAUUCUAUGUUAAAAAACAACUGCAAAUAAAAGAAAGUACAAUGGAUUAAGAUAUUGAUGCCAACUAUGGCUGUGAACAAACCUGACCAAAUGAUAGAAGUGCAUACACGAAAAUGUAGUAUCCUGGCUUAUAACUCUCCAAAGUGCUUUGAUUAGUCCAAAAACUCAACCAUGUACUUCUUGAAACUCGAAGAACUUCAGUUAAUAAGUAGCACAAAAAGAUUAUCAAAACCACCCAUAUGCCUCCUAAUGCAUUGUUAUACCUGCAAAUGGACAUAAAAAUGUCAAGUACAAGAGCAACAAAAUUCUCUUCGAAUGUUUCAUGUUUAUGACUAUCAUACAUGCUAUUGAAAACUAGGAAAUAUUAAUGCAUUCACGUUACAGAACGGCCAUUAGUUGAAAAAAUGUUUCUACCACUGGUUUUAAGUGCUUGCUGGAGAGCUUAAAACUACAAAGACACUGUAUAAAAUGAGAACAUCUACAGUAAGUAGUUGGUAUCCAAUGGGCAUUAAAUGGUUUUGCAUCCAAAAUAUGUGCAUUUGAGCAUCACUAGUCUUCAGGAUAUCCAGUGCUACCUUGGCCACAAUUAUGGUACAGUAGUUAAAGACUAGGAAAUAUGUUUUCAACUUUGACCCGCAUUGAAGUUUUCUUAGUAAAUCAAAGAGGUUUACCCAUGAACUUGGUUUGCACGCUUCGCUGCUGUGAGCAUCAUAUAAAAAUAUAUUGAAUGUAUUCAGAAAAGGGUCCUUAUCCUAAGGCAUUGUUUAGAAAUUGCGCAAACAAUCAAAGAAAUAAAAUAUAGCAAGAAUCUUAAAUAAGCCCCCUAAAUUACCUUGUCAAAACAUUCCAACUAACAACACCUGUUUCACGUUCUUCUUGCUUGAUAAGUACAGAUUUCCCUCCUUUCACUUUCAUUUUGGAACCUGCUUUUUGUGGCAAAUCAUUUCCCCCAUUAGCCACUGGUUUUGAGCUUUUGUAGUCCAAAUUUUCACUGUUCUUUUCUUCCACUAGCUCUUCCAUUUUCCCUGCAUUUUCCAUCAGCUUUUGGAACAACUUGCCAUUUUUAGACAGUUCCUCAAAGGUUCCCUCCUCUUUAAUCAUACCUUUACUGAGAAGAAUAAUUUUAUCCACUUGUGGAAGAAAAUGUAGCUGGUUGGUGACAAGAACCCUGGUUUUUCCUUGCAACUCGUCCUUAAUACAACUGUUGAAGACCUGUAAAUUUGAGAUUAGGCUAAUAUUUAGCUUAAACAGAAGCUUUUUAAGCUUCGAUGUGUAAAGCUAGCGAUUGUCAAAGUCAUGAAACACUAAAGUAAUAUGAAAAAAAAACAGAGAGAAAUUCCCUCGAACUCAUAACCUGGUCUUCAAGGAAUAGCAUUGUUGGAAUAAAGUUAUUGAAUGUUCACUUUGUAUAAAGAAAGCUUAAUAAUAAAGAGUUGCUCAUCACCGUGAACCAUAUCAAGCUCGCUAUAAGAUAUAUUUAGGUAGCACUAGUGAUCAAAUUAACUUUAAUGUGAGCUUAUAGUAUUUAACUUGACCCAGUACCUGUCGACCGACAUGAGCAUCUAAAGCACUUAAAGGGUCAUCGAAUAUGUAUACAUCUGAAUUGGAGUAGACAGCCCUAGCCAUGGAAACUCUUUGCUUCUGCCCUCCACUUAUAUUGACUCCUCUUUCACCUAUCUCAGUGAGGUCAUGGCCCUGAAUAAACAAUAAUGAGGUAAUCUUCUAAGAGAUAUUUCAAACAAAACAAAAGAAUCAAGAGAGAGAAGAAAGGGAUGCACUUAACUGGAAGCAAGUCGAGAUCAUGUUGUAAUGCAGUUACAUCAAUAGCUUUCAUAUAGCGUGAAGGUUCAUAUUCUGACCCAAAUAAUAUGUUGUCACACACCUGUAAGAACAGAUUUUCAAUGUCAAGAAGGUGCACAACAUUAAUGCAAAACCUAAAAAGAUCCAUGAAACUCGGCUUUGAAGCACAUAAGCACUACAAAGAUACAAAAUAAAUGAUAAUUAUGCAAGAGUCCAAAAUUAAUUAACAAAGAAGAAACUAAGUUGUAACUCACAGUAGCAUUGAAGAUCCAUGAAACCUGAGGAACAUAUGCAACAGUCCCUCUUAUAACAACACUUGCAUUAUAGGAGGCAGUUCUCCAAGCAUUGCUGAUAUAAGAGAUGUUUUUCCUUCUCCAGUCCCGCCAACAAUUGCAACUAAGCUGCCAACUUGUAUUUUUAAAUUGAUAUCUGACAAAGUUGGCUUUUCUAGCUGGAAAAGGCAUGAGAUUCUAAGAUUUCUUAAAUAAGAAGCAUGUCUAAGCGUUAAAAUCAACAAGUAGACCACAAGAAAUAACGUGGUGUUUAUUUACCACCGCACUUCCUAACAAUGUUUCUAGUAUAAUUCCUAAUUUAACUAUGUUUAGAAUACAAAAUUCCAAUCAAGUGCAAAUACAAAAGUUUCAAAUAAAUAUCAAAUUCAAC